Perca fluviatilis (European perch) is the source of this 578-nucleotide long non-coding RNA. RefSeq lists it as uncharacterized. NCBI's taxonomy places the organism in Eukaryota, Metazoa, Chordata, Actinopteri, Perciformes, Percidae. The record is from RefSeq and is a predicted model, not a curated record. The transcript has 3 exons.
GUGUACCUUGUGUACUCUUGCUAGCUUACUGAGAUGCAACGUGAUGCAACAAAUACUGUCUAUGGAUGCAACAUUGUGGAUUUCCUGCAGCGGUUAAGACUGGACACAUUCAGCAAACAUGGAACAUCUGCAAGGUUUUCUGUGUCAGAUCCCAAAGCCUUUCUGGGCAGCGGAACAAAACCCCAUCUUCCCUUUCACUGGCUGGAGCAAAGCACAGCCAACACAGCAGCAGGAUUUGGCCCGCAUCGGCUUCAAGGAGAAUGGUUGGAAAGGACUGGAAAGAGCAGGUGGAGUUCUUUGGCAAGUGUGUUUUGCUGGUAUGCAUGUGAGUGUGUGUGUGCAUGUGGCAAGGGUCACACUAAUAGAAACUUGUCAGAUUUCCAGCAGAUAUUUGAUAUGCAUUCAAAUGGCAGCAACUUGGAAGGUAACAUGAUGCCAUUUGAGCCGCUGCUGAUAAUGCAUCUAUUUUUGGGUAAAGCCCCAUAAUGAAAGACAGCAUGAUGCUCUAGAUACUUUGACUGACAACAUUAGUUUGCAAAAGGAGUCACGUGUGGGGGCAGCCCAUAAAAAUAGAGAUG